This 440-nucleotide ribosomal RNA is filed under the name uncultured bacterium. RNAcentral describes it as "partial 16S ribosomal RNA". It matches the Rfam family "Bacterial small subunit ribosomal RNA", at positions 338 to 795 of the family's 1533-position model. The record is from RNAcentral.
CCUACGGGCGGCUGCAGUGGGGAAUAUUGCACAAUGGGGGAAACCCUGAUGCAGCGACGCCGCGUGAGUGAAGAAGUAUUUCGGUACGUAAAGCUCUAUCAGCAGGGAAGAAAAUGACGGUACCUGACUAAGAAGCCCCGGCUAACUACGUGCCAGCAGCCGCGGUAAUACGUAGGGGGCAAGCGUUAUCCGGAUUUACUGGGUGUAAAGGGAGCGUAGACGGCAGCGCAAGUCUGGAGUGAAAUCCCAUGGCUUAACCAUGGAACUGCUUUGGAAACUGUGCAGCUAGAGUGCAGGUGAGGUAAGCGGAAUUCCUAGGGUAGCGGUGAAAUGCGUAGAUAUUAGGAGGAACACCAGUGGCGAAGGCGGCUUACUGGACUGUAACUGACGUUGAGGCUCGAAAGCGUGGGGAGCAAACAGGAUUAGAUACCCCUGUAGUC